Molecule: ribosomal RNA, 363 nt
Filed under: uncultured Glomeraceae
Lineage: Eukaryota; Fungi; Glomeromycota; Glomeromycetes; Glomerales; Glomeraceae
Description: partial large subunit ribosomal RNA
Source: RNAcentral
CAGUCGUACCGACGAGAAAUCAACUUAUCGUGUGCGAACUUGUGGACGUGCGUGAGUUUCGGCCUCGCUGUUUACAUGUUCGUUCGCUUUGGGUGUACUUUUUCGUAUGGUAGGCCAACGUCAGUUUCGAUUAUCAUAAAAUGACCGGCGGAAUGUAGCUUCGAUUUCGGUUGAAGUGUUAUAGCCUCUGGUAGAUGUGGUGAUUGGGACUGAGGAUUGCAACGAAUACCCUUUGGGCUAUCCGUCUGGCCUCUGAAAGUUGCUCAGGUGCCGAAAGCGUGCUUACGGUCAUCUAAGAUAACGUUCAACAGGUUAGAACGUGAUUACAUUCGUUAAGGACGUUGGCGUAAUGGCUUUAAACGA